This 293-nucleotide ribosomal RNA is filed under the name uncultured eukaryote. RNAcentral's name for it is "partial 18S ribosomal RNA". It matches the Rfam family "Eukaryotic small subunit ribosomal RNA", at positions 6 to 298 of the family's 1831-position model. The record is from RNAcentral.
GGUUGAUCCUGCCAGUAGUCAUAUGCUUGUCUUAAAGAUUAAGCCAUGCACGUCUAAGGAUAAAUAUUUUUUUAACCGUAAACCUGCGGAUGGCUCAUUAAAUCAGUUACAAUCUACUCUAUUGUAUAAAAUACUUGGAUAACCGUAGUAAUUCUAGAGCUAAUACAUGCAAAAAAUUUGAACUCGCAAGGGAACAAAUGUACUUAUUAAUGUCCAAAAUCAAUACAAGUCAUUCCAAACUCUAGAUUAUACUUUAAUCGGUAUUUUUUAGGGGACUUGUAAAAAAAAAUUGA